RNAcentral lists this ribosomal RNA (408 nucleotides) under Triticum aestivum (bread wheat). RNAcentral describes it as "partial small subunit ribosomal RNA". The record is from RNAcentral. Lineage: Eukaryota; Viridiplantae; Streptophyta; Magnoliopsida; Poales; Poaceae.
AUGGAUUCCAUCUUGGCGAAUGAAACUUGGGAGAUAACUGAUCGUCCUUAUGGGUGCAAACCUAUAGGAUGCAAAUGGGUAUUCAAGAAGAAGCUUAGGCCUGAUGGUACUACUGAAAAGUACAAGGCUCGGCUCGUGGCUAAGGGUUAUACCCAAAAGGAAGGUGAAGACUUCUUUGAUACUUACUCACCUGUGGCUCGACUGACCACUAUUCGAGUUCUACUUUCACUAGCUGCCUCACAUGGUCUUCUCGUUCAUCAAAUGGAUGUUAAGACUGCUUUCCUAAAUGGAGAGCUGGACGAGGAAAUUUAUAUAGAACAACCAGAUGGGUUUGUAAUAGAUGGUCAGGAAGGAAAAGUGUGCGAGUUGCUGAAGUCUUUGUAUGGACUCAAGCAAGCACCCAAAUAG